Panicum hallii is the source of this 1069-nucleotide long non-coding RNA. RefSeq lists it as uncharacterized. The transcript is spliced from 3 exons. The record is from RefSeq and is a predicted model, not a curated record. Lineage: Eukaryota; Viridiplantae; Streptophyta; Magnoliopsida; Poales; Poaceae.
UUGACUUGAUCAUGUCCCAACAUGCCCUGUGAAGUAAUUACAAGACUCCAAGUUACCACAUGGCUAGAAAAAUAACCAGAAAUAUAUGCACUUUGUUACACUAUCAUCAAUACUAAAUAUUAUGCACUGUCAGGAUAAAUAUUCUGCAAAAUCACUUCAAUCUAGGAUAGAAAGAGCCCCAGAAAAUAAUAUGCACUGGCAGUAUUUGGCAGAAAUGAGUCACAAGUUUGAAGAGGGAGGACAAGAAAAUACUAUACAUUGGCAGUUUCCAUAUACUAGCUAAUUAAUCAACUUGGAUUGUGAGAAUGACUUAUUCUUUGAUCAUAUAACAUGAAGAGUUAAUAGCACCAGUUUUACAGAAAUGAGGUCCACAAAACCAAUGGAACCAUAUCUGACCACAUGUUCAGCUACCAUUUUUUGCAAUGUACUUCCUAGUUACUACUAAAUUACAGAAGGAAAAAAAAUCUCAGAUAUUGUAUCAGGUUUUAACCAAAACCAAAUGAUGACAAUCACGAAAAAAAUAACUCCAAGUAUAUGUGCUUUCUGUCCUCAUUCUUGCCAAAAAAAUAACGUGCAGAUCACAAUCACGAAUGGGAGAAGCAUGCACUACAACCAGAAAAAAUAACAGCAAAUCACAAUCAUGAAAGGGAGAAGCAUGCACUACAACCAAAGACACCACCAGAAACACCACCAGCAAGUAUAUGUGCUUUCUACCUAAUCUGAACUAGAUCAACCUGCAGAAGAACAAGCAAUCGGCAUCAUGCUAGCAUCAGCCAAAGUCUCCAUACCAUCAUAUGGACGAGGAAGAAUUGUAUCCCUUUUCAACACACAAGUCACAAUGACCUCACAAUAUUGCCUACCAAUGGGCUGACCUCCAAGUUUGAUGCUUGGUUUAGUUCCAAUAAUUAUUCCUUUAGCCACAGCUUGAUCAGAUCUCAACAAGGCAUACAAAAUGACUUCCUUUCCAACCUAAUACAAAUGAGUGAGAAUGGAAUUCAAAGUACUGCAGGGUAAUAAAAUGGCAAGUUGAAAAUAUAAGAUAAAAGUAUUACUAGAGCAUCAUGGUCAG